Molecule: non-coding RNA, 108 nt
Organism: Xenopus tropicalis (tropical clawed frog)
Lineage: Eukaryota; Metazoa; Chordata; Amphibia; Anura; Pipidae
Source: Rfam
GCCUACGGCCAUACCACCCUGAAAGCGCCCGAUCUCGUCUGAUCUCGGAAGCUAAGCAGGGACGGGCCUGGAUGGGAGACCGCCUGGGAAUACCAGGUGUUGAGUUCC